AGUUACCAGCACGUUAAGGUGGGCACUCUAAGGAGACUGCCGGUGACAAACCGGAGGAAGGUGGGGAUGACGUCAAGUCAUCAUGGCCCUUACGGCCUGGGCUACACACGUGCUACAAUGGUCGGUACAAAGGGUUGCCAAGCCGCGAGGUGGAGCUAAUCCCAUAAAACCGAUCGUAGUCCGGAUCGCAGUCUGCCAACUCGACUGCGUGAAGUCGGAAUCGCUAGUAAUCGUGAAUCCAGAAUGUCCACGGUCGAAUACGUUCCGGGCCUU
Molecule: ribosomal RNA, 273 nt
Filed under: uncultured Pseudomonas sp.
Lineage: Bacteria; Pseudomonadati; Pseudomonadota; Gammaproteobacteria; Pseudomonadales; Pseudomonadaceae
Description: partial 16S ribosomal RNA
Rfam family: Bacterial small subunit ribosomal RNA
Source: RNAcentral